Trachemys scripta elegans is the source of this 562-nucleotide long non-coding RNA. RefSeq lists it as uncharacterized. Lineage: Eukaryota; Metazoa; Chordata; Testudines; Emydidae. The transcript has 3 exons. The record is from RefSeq and is a predicted model, not a curated record.
CAGUUUCUUAGUUUAAUCCUGUUAUUGCUUGGGAAAGCUGACAUUGAUCGGGUUCACUGCUGCCAGCAGGAGUCUUAACAGCUGUAUUAACAUCAAAGGUCCUGUCGAUUCAAUCUGCUGCUGCUUGAGGGAAGUUGUGAGCAGCAACAAAUCAGAGAUGCAGCUUUCUUCAGUUCCCUUUCUAAGGAAGAAGAUAGACUAUGCCAGGGGAGAUCCUCUGUGUCUCCGGCUCUACAGUAGCAAGAGAAAGGAGGGUUACUCUACCUACAUAUAUAAAGUCCUAAAGCAAACUCAUCAAGUCUCAGGGGUCUCCUGCUGGAUUGCUGAUGUCAUAAAUUCUCUGGAUAAACCACAGUUGUUUGGGAAAGUUGCAUUAGAGGCUGCCAGGUUGUCUCUCUACAACAAGAGAAGCCUCAUUACCUGCAGGGAGGUCCAUGCUGCAAUGAAGUUAGUGCUUCUGCGUGAGCUCUCCAAGCAAGAUAGGUGUGAGACCAUCAAAGCUGUGACUAAGUCCACUGGCUGUAAAUGAACUCUUAUUAAUAUGUAAUGGUUUUAAUGCUUG